CCUACGGGAGGCAGCAGUGAGGAAUUUUCUGCAAUGGGCGAAAGCCUGACAGAGCAAUACCGCGUGAGGGAUGAAGGCCUAUGGGUUGUAAACCUCUUUUCUCAAGGAGGAAGAUCUGACGUUACUUGAGGAAUAAGCAUCGGCUAACCCUGUGCCAGCAGCCGCGGUAAUACAGGGGAUGCAAGUGUUAUCCGGAAUUAUUGGGCGUAAAGCGUCUGCAGGUUGAUAUUUAAGUCUUUUGUUAAAUCUUUGGGCUUAACCCGAAAUCGGCAAAAGAAACUAUUUAUCCUGAGUAUGGUAGAGGUAAAGGGAAUUUCAAGUGGAGCGGUGAAAUGCGUAGAUAUUUGAAAGAACACCAACAGCGAAGGCACUUUACUGGGCCAGUACUGACACUCAGAGACGAAAGCUAGGGGAGCAAACAGGAUUAGAUACCCUGGUAGUCCUAGCUGUAAACGAUGGAUACUAGAUGUUGCGUGCUUCAAAGCAGCGAGUGUCGUAGCUACGUACGUUAGUAUCCGUCCGUCGGUAGUAGUGCUCGCGAGGGUAGGAACGUACGAAAGGAAGUUAGUACGGCGUGAGACGUCGCCGACGGACGACCGACGAGGGAGGUUAGG
Molecule: ribosomal RNA, 614 nt
Filed under: uncultured bacterium
Lineage: Bacteria
Description: bacterial SSU rRNA
Rfam family: Bacterial small subunit ribosomal RNA (bases 1-520)
Source: RNAcentral